CUGUGAUGCUGGACAGGAGCUGACAGCCGGGAUCUGGGAGCAAUACCUUCAGGAUAGCACAGCAAGGUUUAGCUGGGCUUGAUCUGCAGUGGUGUAGAGGCUGCAAAGGAGGGGCGAUUUUGUUAUGUGAGAAAUAAGCCCACCUACUUGUGGGGACUCAAGAUGACUUGUUUGGAUUCUGCAUAUGCAAAUUGAAGAUCUCCUCCUCUUCUUGAGAGUUCCAAGACCCACAACUCACUUUUGCCCGUGCUGAGACAUGGCCCCAGCCAGAAGGAAUUUACAGUCCAGUCAAAACUGCCUAGAAGUGUGACAGCAGCUGAGUUGGAGGGAGGCAGCUGAACCAAGAAAACCUUAUCAGCACUAUUUGAAACUUUUAUCUCAUCUGGCUUGGCGCCUGAGGUUCUCCCAUUAGGAAAUUGAAGGCGUGUGGGAGAGCAUAUGGAACAUUCCUUCAAAUGCAUUUGGUCAUAGAAGCCUUUACUG
RNAcentral lists this long non-coding RNA (483 nucleotides) under Homo sapiens (human). RNAcentral describes it as "non-protein coding lnc-PI4KA-3:2". The record is from RNAcentral. Lineage: Eukaryota; Metazoa; Chordata; Mammalia; Primates; Hominidae.